This 311-nucleotide long non-coding RNA is filed under the name Homo sapiens (human). RNAcentral's name for it is "HSALNT0304224". The record is from RNAcentral. Lineage: Eukaryota; Metazoa; Chordata; Mammalia; Primates; Hominidae.
AUGAUAAUUCCAUUCGUUUCAAUUCGAAGGUGUUUCCAUUCUAUUCCAUUCGAUGUUGAUUCCAUUAGUUUCCAUUGGAUGAUGAUUCCAUUCGAGUCCAUUCAAUGAAGAUCACAUUUGAUUUCAUUCCAUAAUUCUAUUCGAUUCCAUUUGAUGAUGAUUCCAUUCGUUUCCAUCCGAUGAUGAUUCCAUUUGAUUCCAUUCGAUGACUAUUCCAUUCGAGUCCAUUUGAUGAUUCCAUUCGAUUCCAUUUGAUGAUGAUUGCAUUCGAGUCCAUGGAUUAUUCCAUUCCAUUCCAUUCCAUUCGAUGA